CUGCAGGCUGCAACUCGCCUGCACGAAGUCGGAAUUGCUAGUAAUCGUAGGUCAGCAUACUACGGUGAAUACGUUCCCGGGCCUUGUACACACCGCCCGUCAAACCAUGAGAGUUGGCAACACCCGAAGUCGGUAGUCUAACCGCAAGGAGGACGCCGCCGAAGGUGGGGUUGAUGAUUAGGGUUAAGUCGUAACAAGGUAAC
RNAcentral lists this ribosomal RNA (203 nucleotides) under uncultured bacterium. Its description in RNAcentral is "partial 16S ribosomal RNA". It matches the Rfam family "Bacterial small subunit ribosomal RNA", at positions 1298 to 1500 of the family's 1533-position model. The record is from RNAcentral.